RNAcentral lists this transfer RNA (72 nucleotides) under Heterocephalus glaber (naked mole-rat). It matches the Rfam family "tRNA". From Rfam's summary of the family: Transfer RNA (tRNA) molecules are approximately 80 nucleotides in length. The record is from Rfam by way of RNAcentral. Lineage: Eukaryota; Metazoa; Chordata; Mammalia; Rodentia; Bathyergidae.
UGGGGUAUAGCUCAGAGGCAGAGCAUGUGCUUAGCAUGCUUAAGGCCCUGGGUUCAAUCCUCAGCACUGCUC